Molecule: ribosomal RNA, 640 nt
Filed under: uncultured bacterium
Lineage: Bacteria
Description: bacterial SSU rRNA
Rfam family: Bacterial small subunit ribosomal RNA
Source: RNAcentral
GAAAGAUUCAUCGGAAGAGGAUGGGCAUGCGGCGCAUUAGCUAGACGGCGGGGUAACGGCCCACCGUGGCGACGAUGCGUAGGGGUUCUGAGAGGAAGGUCCCCCACACUGGUACUGAGACACGGACCAGACUCCUACGGGAGGCAGCAGUGAGGAAUAUUGGUCAAUGGGAGAGAUCCUGAACCAGCCAAGCCGCGUGAGGGAAGACGGCCCUAUGGGUUGUAAACCUCUUUUGUCGGAGAACAAAACCCGGGACGUGUCCCGGACUGCGUGUAUCCGAAGAAAAAGCAUCGGCUAACUCCGUGCCAGCAGCCGCGGUAAUACGGAGGAUGCGAGCGUUAUCUGGAUUUAUUGGGUUUAAAGGGUGCGUAGGCGGUCCGUUAAGUCAGCGGUAAAAUUGCGGGGCUCAACCCCGUCGAGCCGUUGAAACUGGCAGACUUGAGUUGGCGAGAAGUACGCGGAAUGCGCGGUGUAGCGGUGAAAUGCAUAGAUAUCGCGCAGAACUCCGAUUGCGAAGGCAGCGUACCGGCGCCAGACUGACGCUGAGGCACGAAAGCGUGGGGAUCGAACAGGAUUAGAUACCCUGGUAGUCCACGCAGUAAACGAUGAAUGCUGGUUGUCCGGGUCGAAUGAGAUCUGG